This 253-nucleotide ribosomal RNA is filed under the name uncultured prokaryote. RNAcentral describes it as "partial 16S ribosomal RNA". It matches the Rfam family "Bacterial small subunit ribosomal RNA", at positions 524 to 776 of the family's 1533-position model. The record is from RNAcentral.
UACAGAGGUCUCAAGCGUUGUUCGGAUUCAUUGGGCGUAAAGGGUGCGUAGGCGGCGCGGUAAGUCGGGUGUGAAAUCUCGGGGCUUAACUCCGAAACUGCAUUCGAUACUGCCGUGCUUGAGGACUGGAGAGGAGACUGGAAUUUACGGUGUAGCGGUGAAAUGCGUAGAUAUCGUAAGGAACACCAGUGGCGAAGGCGGGCAUCUGGGCCAACACUGACGCUGAUGCGCGAAAGCUAGGGGAGCAAACAGG